AUGGAGGGCGGAGAAGGUUCUGGUGGCGGCGAGCCGACCAAGUACCGCGGGGUGCGGCGCCGGCCGUGGGGCAAGUUCGCGGCGGAGAUCCGGGACUCGAGCCGUCACGGCGUGCGCAUGUGGCUGGGCACCUUCGACACCGCCGAGGAGGCCGCGGCCGCCUACGACCGCUCCGCCUACUCCAUGCGCGGCCGCAACGCCGUGCUCAACUUCCCCGACCGGGCGCACGUCUACGAGGCAGAGGCCAGGCGCCAGGGCCAGGGUUCUUCAUCGUCGGCGAGGCAGCAGAAUCAGCAGCAGGGGCAGAGCGGGGUGAUCGAGUUCGAGUACCUGGACGACGACGUGCUGCAGUCUAUGCUCCACGACCACGACAAAUCCAACAAGUAG
RNAcentral lists this ribosomal RNA (387 nucleotides) under Triticum aestivum (bread wheat). RNAcentral's name for it is "partial small subunit ribosomal RNA". Lineage: Eukaryota; Viridiplantae; Streptophyta; Magnoliopsida; Poales; Poaceae. The record is from RNAcentral.